UUAUUGAUAGUUUAAAUUAAAAGAAUAAUAAUUUGUGGUAUUAUAGGUGAAAAUUUUUCUCUAAAUC
This 67-nucleotide transfer RNA is filed under the name Deroploa parva. RNAcentral's name for it is "tRNA-His". Lineage: Eukaryota; Metazoa; Arthropoda; Insecta; Hemiptera; Pentatomidae. The record is from RNAcentral.